RNAcentral lists this ribosomal RNA (467 nucleotides) under uncultured bacterium. RNAcentral's name for it is "partial 16S ribosomal RNA". It matches the Rfam family "Bacterial small subunit ribosomal RNA", at positions 28 to 507 of the family's 1533-position model. The record is from RNAcentral.
GACGAACGCUGGCGGCGUGCUUAACACAUGCAAGUCGAACGGAAAGGCUCCAGCUUGCUGGAGCACUCGAGUGGCGAACGGGUGAGUAACACGUGGGUAAUCUGCCUUGCACUCUGGGAUAAGCCUGGGAAACUGGGUCUAAUACUGGAUAUGACCUUUCCCCUUAUGGGGUUUGGUGGAAAGUUUUCCGGUGUAGGUUGAGCCCGCGGCCUUUCAGCUUGUUGGUGGGGUGAUGGCCUACCAAGGCGACGACGGGUAGCCGGCCUGAGAGGGUGAUCGGCCACAUUGGGACUGAGAUACGGCCCAGACUCCUACGGGAGGCAGCAGUGGGGAAUAUUGCACAAUGGGCGGAAGCCUGAUGCAGCGACGCCGCGUGAGGGAUGACGGCCUUCGGGUUGUAAACCUCUUUCAGCAGGGACGAAGCGUAAGUGACGGUACCUGCAGAAGAAGCACCGGCUAACUAUGUG